Molecule: ribosomal RNA, 97 nt
Filed under: Sinobaca qinghaiensis
Lineage: Bacteria; Bacillati; Bacillota; Bacilli; Caryophanales; Sporolactobacillaceae
Description: partial 16S ribosomal RNA
Rfam family: Bacterial small subunit ribosomal RNA
Source: RNAcentral
CUUUCAUGGAGAGUUUGAUCUUGGCUCAGGACGAACGCUGGCGGCGUGCCUAAUACAUGCAAGUCGAGCGCAUGCACCCGGCGGACCUCUUCGGAGG